Molecule: ribosomal RNA, 550 nt
Filed under: uncultured Glomus
Lineage: Eukaryota; Fungi; Glomeromycota; Glomeromycetes; Glomerales; Glomeraceae
Description: SSU rRNA
Rfam family: Eukaryotic small subunit ribosomal RNA
Source: RNAcentral
UUGGAGGGCAAGUCUGGUGCCAGCAGCCGCGGUAAUUCCAGCUCCAAUAGCGUAUAUUAAAGUUGUUGCAGUUAAAAAGCUCGUAGUUGAAUUUCGGGAUCAAUGUUUCGGUCAUGCCGUUGGUAUGUACUGAUAUUAUUGAUUUCUCACCUUCUAAAGAACCAUAAUGCCAUUAAUUUGGUGUCACGGGGAAUUAGGACUGCUACCUUGAAAAAAUUAGAGUGUUUAAAGCAGGCUCACGCUUGAAUACAUUAGCAUGGAAUAAUGAAAUAGGACAUCCGAUUCUAUUUUGUUGGUUUCUAGGAUCGAUGUAAUGAUUAAUAGGGAUAGUUGGGGGCAUUAGUAUUCAAUUGUCAGAGGUGAAAUUCUUGGAUUUAUUGAAGACUAACUACUGCGAAAGCAUUUGCCAAGGAUGUUUUCAUUAAUCAAGAACGAAAGUUAGGGGAUCGAAGACGAUCAGAUACCGUCGUAGUCUUAACCAUAAACUAUGCCGACUAGGGAUCGGAUGAUGUUAAUUUUUUAAUGACUCAUUCGGCGCCUUACGGGAAAC